ACGGGAGGCAGCAGUGAGGAAUAUUGGUCAAUGGGCGAGAGCCUGAACCAGCCAAGUAGCGUGCAGGAUGACGGCCCUCCGGGUUGCAAACUGCUUUUAGUUGGGAAUAAAAAGAGGGACGUGUCCAUUAUUGUAUGUACCAUCAGAAAAAGGACCGGCUAAUUCCGUGCCAGCAGCCGCGGUAAUACGGAAGGUCCGGGCGUUAUCCGGAUUUAUUGGGUUUAAAGGGAGCGUAGGCGGGCCUUUAAGUCAGUGGUAAAAGCGUGUGGCUCAACCAUACCACGCCAUUGAAACUGGAGGCCUUGAGUGCACACGGGGAUGCUGGAAUUCGUCGUGUAGCGGUGAAAUGCUUAGAUAUGACGAAGAACUCCGAUCGCGAAGGCAGGUGUCCGGGGUGUAACCGACGCUGAGGCUCGAAAGUGCGGGUAUCAAACAGGAUUAGAUACCCUGGUA
This 453-nucleotide ribosomal RNA is filed under the name uncultured Alloprevotella sp. Its description in RNAcentral is "partial 16S ribosomal RNA". It matches the Rfam family "Bacterial small subunit ribosomal RNA", at positions 341 to 792 of the family's 1533-position model. Lineage: Bacteria; Pseudomonadati; Bacteroidota; Bacteroidia; Bacteroidales; Prevotellaceae. The record is from RNAcentral.